CAGCCGCCGCGGUAAUACGAAGGGGGCUAGCGUUGCUCGGAAUGACUGAGCGUAAAGGGCGCGUAGGCGGCGGCCAAAGUCAGGCGUGAAAUUCCUGGGCUCAACCUGGGGGCUGCGCUUGAUACUUGGUUGCUUGAGUGGGGAAGAGGGUCGUGGAAUUCCCAGUGUAGAGGUGAAAUUCGUAGAUAUUGGGAAGAACACCGGUGGCGAAGGCGGCGACCUGGUCCUUGACUGACGCUGAGGCGCGAAAGCGUGGGGAGCAAACAGGAUUAGAUACCCCUGUAGUCCCUGUCUCUUAUAC
RNAcentral lists this ribosomal RNA (301 nucleotides) under uncultured bacterium. Its description in RNAcentral is "partial 16S ribosomal RNA". It matches the Rfam family "Bacterial small subunit ribosomal RNA", at positions 509 to 807 of the family's 1533-position model. The record is from RNAcentral.